This 22-nucleotide transfer RNA is filed under the name Parkinsonia africana. RNAcentral describes it as "partial tRNA-Phe". Lineage: Eukaryota; Viridiplantae; Streptophyta; Magnoliopsida; Fabales; Fabaceae. The record is from RNAcentral.
UCGGGAUAGCUCAGCCGGUAGA